GCGCCCUCCCGAAGGUUAAGCUACCUACUUCUUUUGCAACCCACUCCCAUGGUGUGACGGGCGGUGUGUACAAGGCCCGGGAACGUAUUCACCGUAGCAUUCUGAUCUACGAUUACUAGCGAUUCCGACUUCAUGGAGUCGAGUUGCAGACUCCAAUCCGGACUACGACGCACUUUAUGAGGUCCGCUUGCUCUCGCGAGGUCGCUUCUCUUUGUAUGCGCCAUUGUAGCACGUGUGUAGCCCUACUCGUAAGGGCCAUGAUGACUUGACGUCAUCCCCACCUUCCUCCAGUUUAUCACUGGCAGUCUCCUUUGAGUUCCCGGCCGAACCGCUGGCAACAAAGGAUAAGGGUUGCGCUCGUUGCGGGACUUAACCCAACAUUUCACAACACGAGCUGACGACAGCCAUGCAGCACCUGUCUCAGAGUUCCCGAAGGCACCAAUCCAUCUCUGGAAAGUUCUCUGGAUGUCAAGAGUAGGUAAGGUUCUUCGCGUUGCAUCGAAUUAAACCACAUGCUCCACCGCUUGUG
This 529-nucleotide ribosomal RNA is filed under the name Enterobacter asburiae. Its description in RNAcentral is "partial 16S ribosomal RNA". The record is from RNAcentral. Lineage: Bacteria; Pseudomonadati; Pseudomonadota; Gammaproteobacteria; Enterobacterales; Enterobacteriaceae.